GACGAACGCUGGCGGCGUGCUUAACACAUGCAAGUCGAACGGUAAGGCCCUUCGGGGUACACGAGUGGCGAACGGGUGAGUAACACGUGGGUGAUCUGCCCUGCACUUCGGGAUAAGCCUGGGAAACUGGGUCUAAUACCGGAUAGGACUCCGGACUGCAUGGUAUGGGGUGGAAAGCUUUUGCGGUGUGGGAUGGGCCCGCGGCCUAUCAGGUUGUGGGGGGGGUGAUGGCCUACCAAGGCGACGACGGGUAGGCGGCCUGAGAGGGUGACCGGCCACACUGGGACUGAGAGACGGCCCAGACUCCUACGGGAGGCAGCAGUGGGGAAUAUUGCACAAUGGGCGCGAGCCUGAUGCAGCGACGCCGCGUGAGGGAUGACGGCCUUCGGGUUGUAAACCUCUUUCAGCAUCGACGAAGCGAAAGUGACGGUAGGUGCAGAAGAAGGACCGGCCAACUACGUGCCAGCCGCCGCAGUAA
RNAcentral lists this ribosomal RNA (478 nucleotides) under uncultured bacterium. RNAcentral's name for it is "partial 16S ribosomal RNA". It matches the Rfam family "Bacterial small subunit ribosomal RNA", at positions 28 to 523 of the family's 1533-position model. The record is from RNAcentral.